This 253-nucleotide ribosomal RNA is filed under the name uncultured bacterium. RNAcentral describes it as "partial 16S ribosomal RNA". It matches the Rfam family "Bacterial small subunit ribosomal RNA", at positions 524 to 776 of the family's 1533-position model. The record is from RNAcentral.
UACGGGGGGGGCAAGCGUUGUUCGGAAUUACUGGGCGUAAAGGGCUCGUAGGUGGCCAACUAAGUCAGACGUGAAAUCCCCAGGCUUAACCUGGGAACUGCGUCUGAUACUGGAUGGCUUGAAUUCGGGAGAGGGAUGCAGAAUUCCAGGUGUAGCGGUGAAAUGCGUAGAUAUAUGGAGGAAUACCGGUGGCGAAGGCGGCAUCCUGGACCGAGAUUGACACUGAUGAGCGAAAGCUAGGGGAGCAAACGGG